This 274-nucleotide ribosomal RNA is filed under the name uncultured bacterium. Its description in RNAcentral is "partial 16S ribosomal RNA". It matches the Rfam family "Bacterial small subunit ribosomal RNA", at positions 523 to 796 of the family's 1533-position model. The record is from RNAcentral.
AGACGAACCGGACAAACGUUAUUCGGAAUCAUUGGGCUUAAAGGGUGCGUAGGCGGUGCGGAAAGUUGGGUGUGAGAUCCCUCGGCUCAACCGAGGAACUGCGCUCAAAACUUCCGUGCUAGAGUGAGACAGAGGUGAGCGGAACUGAUGGUGGAGCGGUGAAAUGCGUUGAUAUCAUCAGGAACACCGGUGGCGAAGGCGGCUCACUGGGUCUCUACUGACGCUGAGGCACGAAAGCUAAGGUAGCGAACAGGAUUAGAAACCCUAGUAGUCC